RNAcentral lists this ribosomal RNA (682 nucleotides) under uncultured Lachnospiraceae bacterium. RNAcentral describes it as "bacterial SSU rRNA". It matches the Rfam family "Bacterial small subunit ribosomal RNA", at positions 54 to 737 of the family's 1533-position model. The record is from RNAcentral. Lineage: Bacteria; Bacillati; Bacillota; Clostridia; Lachnospirales; Lachnospiraceae.
CAUGCAAGUCGAACGGGAAAUAUUUCAUUGAGACUUCGGUGGAUUUGAUCUAUUUCUAGUGGCGGACGGGUGAGUAACGCGUGGGUAACCUGCCUUAUACAGGGGGAUAACAGUCAGAAAUGGCUGCUAAUACCGCAUAAGCGCACAGAGCUGCACGGCUCAGUGUGAAAAACUCCGGUGGUAUAAGAUGGACCCGCGUUGGAUUAGCUAGUUGGUGGGGUAACGGCCCACCAAGGCGACGAUCCAUAGCCGGCCUGAGAGGGUGAACGGCCACAUUGGGACUGAGACACGGCCCAGACUCCUACGGGAGGCAGCAGUGGGGAAUAUUGCACAAUGGGGGAAACCCUGAUGCAGCGACGCCGCGUGAAGGAAGAAGUAUCUCGGUAUGUAAACUUCUAUCAGCAGGGAAGAUAGUGACGGUACCUGACUAAGAAGCCCCGGCUAACUACGUGCCAGCAGCCGCGGUAAUACGUAGGGGGCAAGCGUUAUCCGGAUUUACUGGGUGUAAAGGGAGCGUAGACGGUGUGGCAAGUCUGAUGUGAAAGGCAUGGGCUCAACCUGUGGACUGCAUUGGAAACUGUCAUACUUGAGUGCCGGAGGGGUAAGCGGAAUUCCUAGUGUAGCGGUGAAAUGCGUAGAUAUUAGGAGGAACACCAGUGGCGAAGGCGGCUUACUGGACGGU